CACGCCCUAAACGAUGCGAACUAGGUGUUGGGGAAGGAGACUUUCUUAGUACCGCAGCUAACGCGUGAAGUUCGCCGCCUGGGGAGUACGGUCGCAAGAUUAAAACUCAAAGGAAUUGACGGGGACCCGCACAAGCGGUGGAUGAUGUGGUUUAAUUCGAUGCAACGCGAAAAACCUUACCCACCUUUGACAUGGUCGGAACCCUUUAGAGAUAGAGGGGUGCUCGAAAGAGAGCCGAUACACAGGUGC
RNAcentral lists this ribosomal RNA (249 nucleotides) under uncultured bacterium. RNAcentral describes it as "partial 16S ribosomal RNA". It matches the Rfam family "Bacterial small subunit ribosomal RNA", at positions 796 to 1041 of the family's 1533-position model. The record is from RNAcentral.